AAGCAAGACCGUGAGGUGGAGCAAAACUCAAAAACUUAGUCUCAGUUCGGAUUGUAGGCUGAAACUCGCCUACAUGAAGCUGGAGUUGCUAGUAAUCGCGAAUCAGCAUGUCGCGGUGAAUACGUUCCCGGGCCUUGUACACACCGCCCGUCACACCAUGAGAGUUGGCAAUACCCAACGUACGUGAUCUAACCCGCAAGGGAGGAAGCGUCCUAAGGUAGGGUCAGCGAUUGGGGUGAAGUCGUAACAAGGUAGC
Molecule: ribosomal RNA, 256 nt
Filed under: uncultured bacterium
Lineage: Bacteria
Description: partial 16S ribosomal RNA
Rfam family: Bacterial small subunit ribosomal RNA
Source: RNAcentral